Coffea arabica (coffee) is the source of this 140-nucleotide non-coding RNA. NCBI's taxonomy places the organism in Eukaryota, Viridiplantae, Streptophyta, Magnoliopsida, Gentianales, Rubiaceae. The record is from RefSeq and is a predicted model, not a curated record.
GUGACAAAAAAUUUCUGAUCUAGUCAUCCAAGAAGGCGCUCAAGGGGACCUUCAAGAAGAACUCGAAGUGGACGCCUAGACACUUGUUUGAGUAUUUACUCUCUUGUUGCAAUAGGACUGGGCUCGGUCGGGUAGGUUGG